This 497-nucleotide ribosomal RNA is filed under the name uncultured bacterium. RNAcentral describes it as "partial 16S ribosomal RNA". It matches the Rfam family "Bacterial small subunit ribosomal RNA", at positions 28 to 507 of the family's 1533-position model. The record is from RNAcentral.
GAUGAACGCUGGCGGCGUGCCUAAUACAUGCAAGUCGAGCGAACGGACGAGAAGCUUGCUUUUCUGAUGUUAGCGGCGGACGGGUGAGUAACACGUGGAUAACCUACCUAUAAGACUGGGAUAACUUCGGGAAACCGGAGCUAAUACCGGAUAAUAUUUUGAACCGCAUGGUUCAAAAGUGAAAGACGGUCUUGCUGUCACUAAUAGAUGGAUCCGGGUUGCAUUAGCUAGUUGGUAAGGUAACGGCUUACCAAGGCAACGAUGCGUAGCCGACCUGAGAGGGUGAUCGGCCACACUGGAACUGAGACACGGUCCAGACUCCUACGGGAGGCAGCAGUAGGGAAUCUUCCGCAAUGGGCGAAAGCCUGACGGAGCAACGCCGCGUGAGUGAUGAAGGUCUUCGGAUCGUAAAACUCUGUUAUUAGGGAAGAACAUAUGUGUAAGUAACUGUGCACAUCUUGACGGUACCUAAUCAGAAAGCCACGGCUAACUACGUG